This 500-nucleotide ribosomal RNA is filed under the name uncultured bacterium. Its description in RNAcentral is "bacterial SSU rRNA". It matches the Rfam family "Bacterial small subunit ribosomal RNA", at positions 1006 to 1512 of the family's 1533-position model. The record is from RNAcentral.
GGGGGUGCUAGCUUGCUAGAACCUACACACAGGUGCUGCACGGCUGUCGUCAGCCCGUGUCGUGAGAUGUUGGGUUAAGUCCCGCAACGAGCGCAACCCUCGUCCUUAGUUGCUAACAGUUCGGCUGAGCACUCUAAGGAGACUGCCUUCGCAAGGAGGAGGAAGGUGAGGACGACGUCAAGUCAUCAUGGCCCUUACGGCCAGGGCUACACACGUGCUACAAUGGGGCGUACAAAGAGCUGCAAUACCGCGAGGUGGAGCCAAUCUCUUAAAGCGUCUCUCAGUUCGGAUUGUUCUCUGCAACUCGAGAACAUGAAGCUGGAAUCACUAGUAAUCGUAGAUCAGCUGUGCUACGGUGAAUACGUUCCCGGGUCUUGUACUCACCGCCCGUCACACCAUGGGAGUUGAUUUCACCCGAAAUCGGGAUGCCAAACUGGCUACCGCUUACGGUGGAAUUAGCGACUGGGGUGAAGUCGUAACAAGGUAACCGUAGGAGAACC